CUAAUAUACAUCAAAAGUUGUAUAAUUUGGAACCAUUUCCACAAAUGCUUGAGGGGUUAUAAUAUGCUUGCUGCCUGAGAUUUGGAAACAAGAAUAUAUAUAUAUAUAUAAGGCUUCAGAAGCACAAAAGUAUACAUGACAUGGGAAUCAUUGGUUUAUUUCAUAUGAAAAAAAACUAUAAACAAAAUGUGAAGACCUAUCUUGUGUAACUAUAUACAUUCAUUAUAAAUUCACUAGUAUCUCAGGGACUCCGUUAUGAUCUCCUUCCACUUGUGCAAGUUGAGUGUAUGGGGUUCACAUCUUAAUUCAUCAUGGCUGCCCACAUGAAAAAGCAUAAUGAUCAUAAUCCUGCUAUGAAGGGAAUUAAUAAGAUCAAAAUAAGGGAUUAUAUAUAAAAAAUUGUGUAUAUAUUACAGUUCUUUUCAAGUAAGCCACUGAGACCUAUGAUUAGAGAUAAAUGUUGCUAUGUAAGAAACAUCUUACAACUUUAUUAGAAAAUCCGGAAUGGUUACAAGCAUUUUACAUAUAAGUCUUAAUGAAUGCAGCUAAAUAAGUGUAUAUAUACAUGAACACAAAAUUGUAUACUUGGAAAAAAAGAUCAGUUCUAUAUGCUCGUACCGCUUAUCCUUGAGUUUUAAGGAACCAAAGACAUGGUCGAUGAACCACAACCGUGUUAUCAAAGUGUGAUUAAUGGCUCAGAUUUCACUCGCUUUCAGUAAAAACUAUUACAAUUUACUUUAGAGCAUUCAAUUAAUUUGUUUUGAUAUUUCAGAUAUAUAUAUUUCACCAUUGUAAGCUUUAAUUUUAGGUAGAAUUUCAUAACAGAAUUGUUCAUACAUAAGAGUGAAGAUUGAUCUUCUACUAAAGAACCUAAUGUGAAUAAUAACAAAGCAUCAAUGGGUCACACUUUGUAUUCUGUCACAACAGAACCCUAUAAUCCAUCAACACCAUUUUUUGAAUUCUUAAAUCCUAAUCUAACAUCGAAGAAUAAUUUGAACUGAUUUGGGUGGGAUGAAUGUACCAAACUAUGCUAUAUUGCAAGACAAAGGUGACAACACAUGAGAGUCUUAGUAGCAAACUACCACUAUGGACUCUCUGGUCUCUCCCUAUAAAAAUUGAUUUAAUUCAAAUGGACUAUUAGCCCAUGUAUCAGAUAUUAAACUGAUAAGAACAGGAGACAAAUAAUGAUUAUGCAGUUCUUAUAGGUUGGAACAAUGCGGCAAUUAAGGUUAUUAAUAAUAUGAUAAGAGAAAUGAUUGAGAAAGGUUUUGGACCACCAGUCAAGUUUUCUACAGCAAUUUUAACUGGUGUACAAUCUUUCUCAUGCGCUACUUGAUAAUGCACCAAAAAUACUACAUCAUUUUAUAAAACAUUACUAUCUCCAUCAUUUCAUUAUUGGCAUAUAUAUUCAGGGAUCUUAAAUCAAUAAAUACAAUUCCAGAAAGAGAGAGAGUAACUGAUGAGGUUAACAAGGGAAGCGAAGUUUGUCUUACAUCGCUUGUUCUUAGCAAGACUCGAGCGUUUAUAUAAUCAAAGAGUGAAAUAGAAGGACACGACCUUACUUGAACAGGAUCUGUUCUAUAGGCUCGUACAACUGUAUCCUUGAGUUCUAAGGAGACAGGAACCGAAGUCUGGUUGAUGAAUCAUGACCGUGUGAUCAGAGCGUGAUUAAUGGUCCAGAUCGAACCCUCUUGGGAGGUCUCCAUCUGUGGCAGUGGAGGAGAUUUACCUGGCAACAGAAAAAUAGAAAACCAUUGGAAUGGUAUUGAACUUGCAUGGGGUCCACCAUGGAAGCUUCGUUGGUGAUGAGUCCUCCUGUUGGAACGGUAGUACAAAUGAAGCAGAUUGCGGUGGCAACUGGCAAGUCGAAACAAAGAAGCAGUUCCAAGUGUUUUUUUGUUUUCCUUUUGAUUUUGGACACACAAAUGCUUUGGUUUCUCA
RNAcentral lists this long non-coding RNA (1941 nucleotides) under Arachis ipaensis. RNAcentral describes it as "long non-coding RNA (AIPA_LNC001392)". The stretch from base 1553 to 1742 matches the Rfam family "Plant small nucleolar RNA U3". The record is from RNAcentral. Lineage: Eukaryota; Viridiplantae; Streptophyta; Magnoliopsida; Fabales; Fabaceae.